CUCAGUUGGUAGAGCAGUUGACUUUUAAUCAAUUGGUCGCAGGUUCGAAUCCUGCACGACCCACCAAUCGUUCGGUGGAAACGAGAAUAAAGCGUGAAGGAUAACGUUGCGUCAGCAACGGCCCGUAGGGCGAGGCGAAGCCGAGUCAUCCUGCACGACCCACCG
RNAcentral lists this small RNA (165 nucleotides) under Salmonella enterica subsp. enterica serovar Kentucky. RNAcentral describes it as "RtT sRNA". The stretch from base 1 to 63 matches the Rfam family "tRNA", at positions 11 to 71 of the family's 71-position model. Lineage: Bacteria; Pseudomonadati; Pseudomonadota; Gammaproteobacteria; Enterobacterales; Enterobacteriaceae. The record is from RNAcentral.